GUCCGCCCCGAGGACCCUGCGGGCCCGGAAGCCGAGACAGGGCCGCCCACGUCAGCGCCUGGCGCGGGCCCGAACAAACCACGGCAUGGAGACGGAAUGAUGCAGACUCCUAUCCGCGAGAUACCUGCUGUAAUUUCGCUGUGGUUCGUGAGGACGCGUCCUGGGCUGCCCUGAGAAGCCUACGUCUCCCCUUCGAGGCCCGGGAAGACCUCCAACCCCGCUGACAAUGCUGGGCCCUCAGCCAGACCUGCCCUGCGUGCCACGUUCUGUUCUAAGAUCGGGCUGCCGAGCUGUGGCCUGGAGGAAACCUGGUGGGGCUGCCAUGAGCAGCAAGCUCAGUCCAGAAGAACAGUUCCUCUCCAGGAUCCACUUCCUGCGCACUUUUAUGUGCAGUGUAGCUGGAGCAGAGCUCCCCGGAAUUCCACAGGCAACUGAGAACGGAGAGGGAUGCAGGCCAGCCAGGGAUCCAGCGUCUUCCCCAUCGUCACUCUCCAUGGCCUCCGUCUACACACAGUGUUCGUCUGCACAGCUUGUCAGCGCGUUAUCAUGACUUCUAUUUGGCACCGGCCCGUCUGUCCACUGUCCUGGCUUGUUCCAAGCGCUGCCUUCUCCAACUGGGGUCCUGGCUGCAGAGCUGUCUGCUCCCCACGUUGGGCAACUCCAGCCAAGAUUCCUACACCCAAAUGUGACCGUGUUGCUCACGAAGAAGGCUCAGCUUUGCGUGUGCCCAGCCGUGUGCACAGCUCGUCCCAACUCCUGCGGGUGGCACCUGCCUCUCCCACCUCCAGUCUUUCCCCUGUGAUGAGCAGAUGACCACCGCCCUCCAGGGUCAGCGUUUGGCUGUUUGUGUGCCUGCCCACCCGCCUCCCUGUGCCUGGGCCUGCCCUGUGCCUGCACACAGGAGUGGCUCAUGGCGUUUGCCCUACACGGAUGGGCUGUCCUGGGAGCUACUGGACAGUCACCUUGGUGGGAAUGCCAGAGGCAUGGGCAUUAGGUCCCCCCGGCCAGCCUCCGUUGCCACAUGGGCUAUUUUUGUCCAUCGCGUGGGACAACCUAGUAUUGGGGGAAAACUCAGUCCACUCUAAAGAAGCAUCGGCGUUUUGGAUGGACGAAUGCUGCUUCAUGCGACUCCAUGUCAAUGGACUAUUUUAUUCAACUCGGGUAUUUAUGAGUGUCUCCUCUGUGCCAGCCACGUGUGAAAGAAGAACUCCAAGUUACUGGACACCAGGACAAACCAGGUAGAUCACUGCAUCCGGUUCCUCCUCUUUCUGCCGACUCUCCCGGGCAACCGUUCUGAUUCCUGGCAUGGAGUUGGGGGCGAGCUCAUCAGUACCCAGAGCGCCUGGUGUGCAGCCAAAGGCCCCCAUUUUAUUAGUCGGUGUGUUCAGUAUCACGCUCAAGACAAGGGCCAACCUAUUACUUCACACACCUCAAAUACAAAAAGUGCCUGGGAACGUCGAUGAGGUAUUAAAGGAAACCACUGGUCUUGUCAGUCAUGUACACACAGAAAAAAAAACCAGUCAUUUUUAUUUUUAUUUUUUGAGACAGAGUUUCGCUCUUGUUGCCCAGGCUGGAGUGCAAUGGUGCAAUUUCAGCUCACUGCAAUCUCUGCCACCCGGAUUCAAGCAAUUCUCCUGUCUCAGCCUCCCGAGUAGCUGGAAUUGCAGACACCCAUCACCACGCCCAGCUAAUUUUAUGUAUUUUUAGUAGAGAUGGGGUUUCACCAUGUUGGUCAGGCUGGUCUUGAACUCCUGACCUCAG
Long non-coding RNA from Homo sapiens (human), 1761 nucleotides. Ensembl annotates it as CTBP1 divergent transcript. Its record names the gene CTBP1-DT. NCBI's taxonomy places the organism in Eukaryota, Metazoa, Chordata, Mammalia, Primates, Hominidae. The record is from Ensembl.